CGCGUAGGCGGAUUGUUAAGUCGGGGUGAAAUCCCGGGGCUCAACCCCGGAACUGCCCUCGAUACUGGCAGUCUUGAGUUCGAGAGAGGUGAGUGGAAUUCCGAGUGUAGAGGUGAAAUUCGUAGAUAUUCGGAGGAACACCAGUGGCGAAGGCGGCUCACUGGCUCGAUACUGACGCUGAGGUGCGAAAGCGUGGGGAGCAAACA
This 206-nucleotide ribosomal RNA is filed under the name uncultured bacterium. RNAcentral describes it as "partial 16S ribosomal RNA". It matches the Rfam family "Bacterial small subunit ribosomal RNA", at positions 568 to 774 of the family's 1533-position model. The record is from RNAcentral.